GCGGGUUGGGUGUUUAUACACGCUAGCCCUUCAAGCUAGAGUUGCAGGAGCAAUCCGUG
Molecule: transfer RNA, 59 nt
Filed under: Laqueus rubellus
Lineage: Eukaryota; Metazoa; Brachiopoda; Rhynchonellata; Terebratulida; Laqueidae
Description: tRNA-Glu
Source: RNAcentral